CAAAAGCGGAAAGAUCACGGUGACCUGGAUGAGCCAAAAAUGUUCAAAUAUCAGAAUAUGUUACAAAUUGUGUCAGAGGAAUGCAGUGAGAUCAUUCAGUCUUUUCGAAAGAUGUUUGGUGAAGACUUUUUGGAGAGUGUUGAUGUGGG
Molecule: long non-coding RNA, 149 nt
Organism: Seriola dumerili (greater amberjack)
Lineage: Eukaryota; Metazoa; Chordata; Actinopteri; Carangiformes; Carangidae
Exons: 3
Source: RefSeq, a predicted model, not a curated record